CGAACGCUGGCGGCGUGCCUAACACAUGCAAGUCGUGCGAGAAAGUUUCCUUCGGGAAGCGAGUAGAGCGGCGCACGGGUGAGUAACACGUGGGUAAUCUGCCCUUGAGUUUGGGAUAACCCGGGGAAACCCGAGCUAAUACCAAAUACGGCCUUGAGGUCCUUGGACCUCUUGGAGAAAGGUGGCCUCUCCUUGGAAGCUACCUCUCGAGGAUGAGCCCGCGGCCCAUUAGCUUGUUGGUGAGGUAACGGCUCACCAAGGCUGUGAUGGGUAGCUGGUCUGAGAGGAUGAUCAGCCACACUGGAACUGAGACACGGUCCAGACUCCUACGGGAGGCAGCAGUGGGGAAUUUUGGGCAAUGGGGGAAACCCUGACCCAGCAACGCCGCGUGUGGGAUGAAGGCUCUCGGGUCGUAAACCACUGUCAGGAGGGAAGAACUGCAUCACGGGAAAUAUUCGUGGUGUUUGACGGUACCUCCAAAGGAAGGACCGGCUAACUCCGUG
Molecule: ribosomal RNA, 503 nt
Filed under: uncultured bacterium
Lineage: Bacteria
Description: bacterial SSU rRNA
Rfam family: Bacterial small subunit ribosomal RNA
Source: RNAcentral